GAUGAACGCUGGCGGCGUGCCUAAUACAUGCAAGUCGAGCGAACAGACGAGGAGCUUGCUCCUCUGACGUUAGCGGCGGACGGGUGAGUAACACGUGGAUAACCUACCUAUAAGACUGGGAUAACUUCGGGAAACCGGAGCUAAUACCGGAUAAUAUAUUGAACCGCAUGGUUCAAUAGUGAAAGACGGUUUUGCUGUCACUUAUAGAUGGAUCCGCGCCGCAUUAGCUAGUUGGUAAGGUAACGGCUUACCAAGGCAACGAUGCGUAGCCGACCUGAGAGGGUGAUCGGCCACACUGGAACUGAGACACGGUCCAGACUCCUACGGGAGGCAGCAGUAGGGAAUCUUCCGCAAAGGGCGAAAGCCUGACGGAGCAACGCCGCGUGAGUGAUGAAGGUCUUCGGAUCGUAAAACUCUGUUAUUAGGGAAGAACAAAUGUGUAAGUAACUAUGCACGUCUUGACGGUACCUAAUCAGAAAGCCACGGCUAACUGCGUG
RNAcentral lists this ribosomal RNA (497 nucleotides) under uncultured bacterium. RNAcentral's name for it is "partial 16S ribosomal RNA". It matches the Rfam family "Bacterial small subunit ribosomal RNA", at positions 28 to 507 of the family's 1533-position model. The record is from RNAcentral.